Lutra lutra (Eurasian river otter) is the source of this 499-nucleotide non-coding RNA. NCBI's taxonomy places the organism in Eukaryota, Metazoa, Chordata, Mammalia, Carnivora, Mustelidae. The record is from the annotation of a RefSeq genome assembly.
ACCGGAUGGACCCCAUUUGCAUGGACAGCCCCUUCUGUGGCAAAUGGUAGAGGAUAAAAGGAAGCCUGGGGCAGCCCACUGCACUGUGGGGACCAGAGUCUGUGUCACUAUGGCCUGGACUCUUGUUCUCCUCAUGUUCCUGUCUCACUGCACAGGUUCCAUCUCCCAGCUUUUGGUGACCCAGCCUCCCUUCCUCUCUGCAUCUCUGGGAACAACAGCCAGACUCACCUGCACCCUGAGCAGUGACAUCAGUGUUGAUAUUUACCCCAUAUUCUGGUACCAGCAGAAACCAGGGAGCCCUCCUCGUUACCUCCUUACCUAUGUAACAGACUCAAACAAGCACCAGGGCUCUGGGGUCCCAAGCCGCUUCUCUGGAUCCAAAGAUGCCUCGGCCAGUGCAGGGAUUCUGCUCAUCUCUGGACUCCAGGCAGAGGAUGAGGCUGAUUAUUACUGUCAGUCAUUUGAUGCUAGUGGUGGACACAGUGAUACGGGUAGAUGA